UGGGACAGCAUGGGAUGGGACCCUGUGGCACGAGGCUGCACCAAAGCACAUCACUGUGGGUGCCCUGCACAGGCACCCCUGCAGCAACUUGUGAGUGGGGCUGCACAUGGAAUGGGAAGGACAACAGAAACCCCUCUCCUGAGCUGGAUUGUCAGGAAUGGGCAGUUGGCAAGGGACAAGUACCCCAAAAUGCCUCAAAAUCACCCCGUAUUUCAGGUGCUGUUGAGAUAAAUCACAGCAUUUCUGCUCAGUUUGGGCUGAAUCUCUUAAAGUGCUGAUUAAAUCCAGACAGGGAGAUGAGUAGAUCUGUGGAUAGGAAGGCUUCAUUUUUACGUGAUUCAUUUUUAGAGAAUAAAUGAGCUUUAAAGCAUCUUUAAAUCAUCUAUAACCAAUAGCUUGGGAGUAUUUCUAGUGCUUUUAUUCAUGUACAGCAAUCUUAUAAACAAAUAAACAUGUUCAAAAUUUGAAUAAGCAAAAUAAGAGAAAAAACAGUCUGUUGACAGUCUCCCUCUUCCAUCUGUAUAGUUAUUUGUGGUUUGUUACAAUGUAUAUAGCUGCCAAGGGAAAAAUCGAGACAAUUAGGGAAAAAAAAUAAAGAAAAGGGAAGAAAAUAUUUGAAGGAAGAUGUUAUUUAAUCUACCUUUUCACAUUACAACAAAUGUGACUGUUAAUUUUCAGUAUCUCCAUUCUCAGGCUUAGGACCUGAAGUUUGCAUGGAGUUGCUGUAAAGACAAGGCUAAUUUGGAAAAUCCUGAUACACUCUUGGGUUCAGAUUUCAGAAGUGUAUCUGCAUUAUUAUGUUCCUAAAUAUAUAGGGUUCUAUCUCACUUGUAAUUUUUUCCUGAAUUGCUAAUAUAAACUCCAGUCUGAAGAGUUGGCUGUCCCACUAAUAUUUCUGGUUUGCUGUGUUCAUAGUUCCUACCACUGGUUCUCCACAAGUGUCUUAAAAGGAAUUAGACAGAAAGAAAUGUCCCACAACCACAAGAGGUUGUCAAAUAAUGUAUCAAGCCUUCAUAAUGAAGGGAACUGUGCAAGAAUAGAUUUCAAAAUUAGCCUAUCUGGAUCAAAGGCAAACCCGAGUCUCAUAGCUCAGUGAAAAUAGUGUAGAUAGCUUAGAUAUCCUGCACAAAGUGUUUUAUUUUACUUUUCUCUGCCUAUGACAUAACAUUUGAUAAAUAAUUUGCUUGGUAAUGCUUGUGAAAUUGUUUAACAUAUACACCUUUCAUUCUUUUGCUAGCUGUGGUCGAGCAACACCUUUUGUGGCAGCAAAUAUUGCCAGUGACACAGAACACUGUGCUGUGGGAUGGUAGGGCACCACUCAGAUAAGCCAAGAUAGAAUUAAUCUCUCUUGCCCAUCUUUUCAUGGCAGACACUAACCUGACCUGCCUGUCUGAGCUCUGGCAUCCUGCCCGUAGGUUUGUGUGCACAUGAGCUCAGUGUACAGGGCUGGCCAGAAACCCUCCACUGAGACAGUGCUGGUGAGGCUCCCCAGUGCAUCAGAGAGCACCUGCACCUGUGGUACAACCUGUAAUUAUGGUAUUUUCAAAUGCUCAGCCACAGCCUUUGGAUUCACAGAGUUGGAGAGCAAAGAGUCUCUGUCCCACAGGUUGUCACAGAAGUGUUGCCACAGCCCUGCUUCCCAGGCUACAGGUCACCAGUUUGUCACUUGACUUUAAGUGCUGAUUGCUGUUCUUAAUUAUUUGAUCAAUUGAUAGCUGGCAUAAGGCUAGACUACUUAAGCAUUUACUAGACUAACUUAAGCAUUCCUCUUUCAGUAUACCCAGGACUGGUUGCCUCCAUUUUAUACCUGAGGAGGUAUAAAGAGCAGUGGGAAGGUGCAGAGAAACAGCUGUACCACACAGCAGUACAAGCACCUCGAUAUACAGAGGUGUGGCAAUAAACAGGCUGCAGAUCUGGUUCUCUCAUGUUUUAGCUGUAAACAGCUUUAAUUCAGUUUUGCUAUUGUUGUGUAACUUCAGUAUUUGCAUAUCAUAGUAUUUCUGCUACACACCUUAUGAAACAUGGGCAGGCUCUUUGUUUCCCAAAAGAGACUGAUAAUCAACAAAAUAAACCAAAUUGGUUUUUAAAGGUUUUGUAACUCAAAGGCUUUCUGUGCAAAUGCAAGACCAUAAGCCACUUACUCAACCUCAUAUGCCCUCACAGCACGCACUGUGAUCAAUCAUUAGUGUGAAAUACUUUUUGCCUAUUUUAUAUGCAUAUAUAUAUGUAUUCAUAGAGGUUUUAAAUUUAAAAUACACUGUUCUUUUUUAAAAUGCCAAACACUCAAGAAAUACCUGCCUGUCCCAGUGAUUCUGUGUUGCCCCUGCUGCCCACCAUGAUCCUUUUGACUGGGCAGGCUGGUUGCUGCAGAAGGGCACAUGUGGCACAGCCCCUCUGCAAUUUCAGGGGGACGUGCCCAGCAAAACUGACCCUGCAGGGGGGCACAAGCACUGGACCCUGGCCUGGAGAAGGAAUAAAGCUGCUCUCUUGUCUGCAAACCUGGAGUAUCUUCUCAGCAUGCAGGAAAGUCAAGGUGAGAAUAAAGGAACUGACAAUGUUGCAUGGAAUAUUUUGCAAAAAAAAGACCAUGGAAGAAUUUCUGCACAGCAAAUAGGGAUAAUCUGUGCAGUUGUAUCCCCAGCCACUCACCAACUUGUCCUCCUCUUACUGUCAAAAGAUGGGAAGAAACAGAGAAAUGGGAGCAAAGAGAGUUUGCAGGAAAAAGGGAGAAGAAGGAAUAAGACAACUGAAGAUACAGUCUCCACAGGCUACACCGUGGAGAUAAAAAUGAAAGGCAUAAACUGAAGUGACUUAGCCAAGCAGUACAAAAACACAAACCAAACCAACACCCGAGAGGAAGUUGCGCCCUCUCUGUUACCAAACUAUGAGAGGUGAGGCAAAAACUUUAAUAAAGGAAUAGGUCUGCUGCAACAAAGGAAAUAACAGCAAAAACAGAGACAAGGACACAUCCUAACCCCACUAAUAUCAGCAGGAAUUUACCUUCAUCUUCAGUGGGAGCAGAACUUCAAAGACAUGGGAAUCACCCAUAAAACCUGAAGGAUUUUCUAAGCUUGAGAGACCAGUUUUCAAAAGCUCUUUAGAAGAGUUAUUAUGUUACAAGCAUUACUCCGACAUAAGAAACUGAAAGGAUGAUCAGAAAUACUCAGGGAGAAUAAGGCACAAAGGGAUGUAUCAGAGUUACCAUGAAGUAUCUGUGAAGAAAGAAACUGAGGACAGGACAGAUCUCCUGAAUCCCAUAUUGGAAGUACUGCACAUUUCCAUGGGAGGCUGAAUUGCAAAGGCCACGGCCAGAUGCAUUGUCAGCUGAUGGAUACAAUCCCAGUACUGGACUGAAUGCUGUAAUUUCUUUCCAGGUGUAUUUAAAACUCUUCUGGUUCAAUAAGAAAGCAGGGCUUGAAGCCUAACUCUCUCCUGCCAAAGGGAACAAAGAUUGUCUCCAGCAUCAGUCUGUGUUGGGUAAAGUACCAAACUUGUUGAACCAUGCAGACCAAGCAAAAGAGAUCCUGUGAUAAAAGGUCUAAACUUAAGAGCAGAUUUCACUAUGAGUUUAAUUUCUUUGCUCAAUCAAACCCUGUGCACCAGACAGGAUUGGCUCUGACAAGCUUCUACAGAAAAAUGAUACCAAAGAGACUGAAAUCUAGGCCACAGCUACAAAUAAUUCUUCGGAAGCUCUCUGGAUUUCCUGGAGGGCAAGGUGUGGCUCCGUGUGUGGGAGGACAGUUCUUUGGAAAAGGAUAGUGAUCUCAGAAGCAGCACAAGGAAUUCAGCAAAAUACCAGGCUGGAAACAGUAGAUGCUUCUUCAGUACUUUGCCAUGGGUAGCUAUUGGAUAAACUUCUGAGAAAGUGUAAUGUAUCGAAUUACAAUUUUGUUGUUCAAAGAAUUUCUAUUUGGGGAAGUAUUCCUGUUUUCUCCACUAGGCACUUGAAACUCCAGCAACCUCCAUUAUAUUUUUUUCCCCAGCUAAUAUACAAUUAAUGCAUUAUCUAGUAGUUAUAAUCUACUAACUAACCAGAAGUGCUGACAGACACAAGUAAAUCAAACACCCAGUAUCAAUCAGGCUGAUCUGGUUAUCAGUUUAAGAUAAUGGCCAGCUGUGCCAUCUUGCUAAAUCCUGUGGGAAGAAGUUACUGUAAUGUCGGUUGUAACUACAUGGUUACUACUGUGUUGACAUCUGUACAUAAAGCAACUGUGAAAUAAUUUUUUAAACUCUAAUGAGUUUAAAACUCAACAGUCAUAUGUAGCAGACUAGGGAAUUUCCAUAAUUUUUAAAUAAUACAUUUGCAAGGUUUUUUUGCAACAAUAUCAUGUAAAAUGCCUUCUUUUUAAAAAUGCUCUCCUUUGCUUCAUUUUUCCUGAGAUUAAUUAAGUCUUGCUCUGUCAGGCUUCCAAAAGCUUUGCUUCUUUUUCUUUCUCACAUGCACAUACACACACGUUCUGAUGUUUGACACAGACAUUUGAAUGCAUCACUGAUUACUGCCCUUUGCAUGGUACAGCAAGAGGGUACACCAGACUGAACUGCUGCACCUUCAAGAAGGGCAGGAUGGGAGACCCAGAGAACUACAGGUCUGCCAGCCUCACCCCUUUCCCCAGGAUGACUCUGGAGCAAAUACUCCUGGAAGACAUUUCCUAGCACCUGAGAUACACAAAGGUGAGUGAGAACAGAUGGUGUAAUGUGGCUUUACUAAGGGCAAACCUUUGAUGGGAAGACUGGCUCAACAGAGGAGGAAGAGCAGUGGUUGCUAUUUACCUUGACUUUAGGGAGGCCUUCAGCAUGGACUCCCCCAGUGCCCUUACAGUCAAUUUGGAGAAAUAUGCAGUGGAAAAAUGUACAAGGUGGAUGGAUGGGCUGUGCAGUAAAAUGGGUGUUGAUCAGCAGUUCUAAGUUCACACAAAAAGGUGGCUGGUUACUACUGGUGUCCCUCAGGGACCCAUACAGAGGCCAAAACUCUUACUGUCCUUAUUAAUGGCCUAGACAAGGUAACAGAGUGCACUCAGCACAUUUAGGAAUGAUACCUUUGCGGGACACGGAUGUCAAUAGUCUGGAAGAUAAAGCUGCCAUUCAGAGGGGCCUUUGUUGUUUUUUUUUUUUAACAUUGUUUUGUUUCUUAAGCCUAGGACUUUUUACACAAAAGCAUGAAGAUUGUAAAGAUAUUCUCUAAAGCAAAAGCAUUAAAGAAUGAAAA
Molecule: long non-coding RNA, 5206 nt
Organism: Neopelma chrysocephalum (saffron-crested tyrant-manakin)
Lineage: Eukaryota; Metazoa; Chordata; Aves; Passeriformes; Pipridae
Exons: 8
Source: RefSeq, a predicted model, not a curated record